RNAcentral lists this long non-coding RNA (632 nucleotides) under Anas zonorhyncha (Eastern spot-billed duck). RNAcentral describes it as "lncRNA (ENSAZOG00000005981.1)". The record is from RNAcentral. Lineage: Eukaryota; Metazoa; Chordata; Aves; Anseriformes; Anatidae.
ACCCUGCUGUUACUCAGUUUCUAAAUAAGGCUGUCAAAUAUCCUGAGCCUUGAGAGAAAUGAGAAACAUCUCAGUCUGUAAACAAUGGAACUAAUGGAACCUGGUUUCCUGAAGAUUUCUGUGGAACUUCUUAUAAGAAAAGAGCACCUCAGGAAUCAAGUCCAGAAUCCCUCCACCAGAGACAACCAUGCAAUAGUCACUCCCCCAGAAGGGUUCACAAAAUUGCUACUCCCUCCCUAUCUUUCACAGACACUUCCUAUAAUCACACAGUGAAUUUCAGACCUGAAGUAAAAGCUCGAGGAACACACUUCUAAUUACUAUUGCAAAGAGAACAGAAAAGAUGAAGUAUGUUACCAGUGAUUUAUACCUCUACUAAGCCGUAUUUUUGCUCAAUGACUAGCAGGUCUGUUGCACACUACCAAAGAUGAUCUGAAGUGAUCUCUGCCAGUCAAAUCUGAAAAAAAAAAUCCUUUCCAGACCCCAAAUCAAGCAAUCGGAGUAACUCUGGGUGUGUGAGCAAGACUCAUCAGCCAGACAUUUGUCCGAGUUUAAUACUGCUUGCCAAAUCCACUCACAUACCACUUUCAUGCAGUUUAGUUGUGAGACAAGAACUAGUGAGGAGAAAAAAAGUC